GAUGAACGCUGGCGGCGUGCCUAAUACAUGCAAGUCGAGCGAACGGACGAUAAGCUUGCUUCUCUGAUGUUAGCGGCGGACGGGUGAGUAACACGUGGAUAACCUACCUAUAAGACUGGGAUAAUUUCGGGAAACCGGAGCUAAUACCGGAUAAUAUUUUGAACCGCAUGGUUCAAAAGUGAAAGACGGUCUUGCUGUCACUUAUAGAUGGAUCCGCGCUGCAUUAGCUAGUUGGUAAGGUAACGGCUUACCAAGGCAACGAUGCAUAGCCGACCUGAGAGGGUGAUCGGCCACACUAGAACUGAGACACGGUCCAGACUACUACGAGAGGCAGCAGUAGGGAAUCUUACGCAAUGGGCGAAAGCCUGACGGAGCAACGCCGCGUGAGUGAUGAAGGUCUUCGGAUCGUAAAACUCUGUUAUUAGGGAAGAACAUAUGUGUAAGUAACUGUGCACAUCUUGACGGUACCUAAUCAGAAAGCCACGGCUAACUACGUG
This 497-nucleotide ribosomal RNA is filed under the name uncultured bacterium. RNAcentral's name for it is "partial 16S ribosomal RNA". It matches the Rfam family "Bacterial small subunit ribosomal RNA", at positions 28 to 507 of the family's 1533-position model. The record is from RNAcentral.